AUUCUUACCUGGCAAAGGGAGAUACUAUGAUCAUGAAGGGGUGCUCCCAGGGUGAGGUUUAUCUAUUGCACUCCAGAUAUGCUGACCUCUGCAAUAUCCCCAAAUUGUUGAACCCUGGGUUAUCUCAGGACAAAC
Molecule: small nuclear RNA, 135 nt
Organism: Otolemur garnettii (small-eared galago)
Lineage: Eukaryota; Metazoa; Chordata; Mammalia; Primates; Galagidae
Gene: U1
Rfam family: U1 spliceosomal RNA
About the family: U1 is a small nuclear RNA (snRNA) component of the spliceosome (involved in pre-mRNA splicing). Its 5' end forms complementary base pairs with the 5' splice junction, thus defining the 5' donor site of an intron.
Source: Ensembl